GACGAACGCUGGCGGCGUGCUUAACACAUGCAAGUCGAACGGAAAGGCCCUGCUUGCCGGGUACUCGAGUGGCGAACGGGUGAGUAACACGUGGGUGAUCUGCCCUGCACUUCGGGAUAAGCCUGGGAAACUGGGUCUAAUACCGGAUAGGAGCCAUUUUUAGUGUGAUGGUUGGAAAGUUUUUUCGGUGUAGGAUGAGCUCGCGGCCUAUCAGCUUGUUGGUGGGGUAAUGGCCUACCAAGGCGGCGACGGGUAGCCGGCCUGAGAGGGUGGACGGCCACAUUGGGACUGAGAUACGGCCCAGACGCCGACGGGAGGCAGCAGUGGGGAAUAUUGCACAAUGGGCGCAAGCCUGAUGCAGCGACGCCGCGUGGGGGAUGACGGCCUUCGGGUUGUAAACUCCUUUCGCUAGGGACGAAGCUUUUUGUGACGGUACCUAGAUAAGAAGCACCGGCUAACUACGUG
RNAcentral lists this ribosomal RNA (465 nucleotides) under uncultured bacterium. RNAcentral's name for it is "partial 16S ribosomal RNA". It matches the Rfam family "Bacterial small subunit ribosomal RNA", at positions 28 to 507 of the family's 1533-position model. The record is from RNAcentral.